This is a long non-coding RNA of Lytechinus variegatus (green sea urchin), 416 nucleotides long. RefSeq lists it as uncharacterized. The transcript is spliced from 3 exons. The record is from RefSeq and is a predicted model, not a curated record. Lineage: Eukaryota; Metazoa; Echinodermata; Echinoidea; Temnopleuroida; Toxopneustidae.
UACAUACAUGUAGAUCUUGAUCUAGUGUGGGGAUAUCACUCGUGUCAAGGUGAAUACAUUUGAUUGAGAGUGUUAUGUUCCACGAUCGAAUGAUUUUUUUUGUUAGGGAGCCUAGGCUAAAUUACGGUCCCUUUUUCAUGUCGACAUUGUCGAAGUCGGGAUUAAAUUUUAAGCGACAUGUCGACAUGGAUUUUUGUUCCCGACAACAGCACUAGAUAUUAGGUGCCUGAAUAUUUUUGGGUAAUCGCCUGUACUAGUUCUUGAAAUCAGUCUGAUUGUUCUGGUUGCUAUGGUAGCAGAUGGAGGAAAUGAAAGUUUGUUUUGGGUCAAGUAGAAUGAUAGAUGAUUGAAGAGUCUAUCCACUGAGUCAAGAUCAAAUUCUUAUAUUCUCUAGGGCUUCUGUUUCUGUCAUGAUC